Molecule: ribosomal RNA, 598 nt
Filed under: uncultured Marivirga sp.
Lineage: Bacteria; Pseudomonadati; Bacteroidota; Cytophagia; Cytophagales; Marivirgaceae
Description: bacterial SSU rRNA
Rfam family: Bacterial small subunit ribosomal RNA
Source: RNAcentral
UGCAGUCGACGGUAAUAGAUCAGCAUGGUCUAUGAGAGUGACGCACGGGUGCGUAACACGUAUGCAACCUACCCUUUACAGGAGUAUAGCUCGGGGAAACUCGAAUUAAUGCUCCAUGAAAUAGUUGAAUGGCAUCAUUUGAUUAUUAAAGCUGAGGUGGUAAAGGAUGGGCAUGCGUCUGAUUAGCUAGUUGGUAGUGUAACGGACUACCAAGGCGAUGAUCAGUAGGGGAACUGAGAGGUUGAUCCCCCACACUGGCACUGAGAUACGGGCCAGACUCCUACGGGAGGCAGCAGUAGGGAAUAUUGGUCAAUGGGUGAGAGCCUGAACCAGCCAUGCCGCGUGCAGGAAGACGGCCUUCUGGGUUGUAAACUGCUUUUGCCAGGGGCUAAAAAGUCCAUGCGUGGAAAAUUGAAAGUACCUGGUGAAUAAGCCACGGCUAACUACGUGCCAGCAGCCGCGGUAAUACGUAGGUGGCAAGCGUUGUCCGGAUUUAUUGGGUUUAAAGGGUGCGUAGGCGGCUCUGUAAGUCAGUGCUGAAAUAUCCCGGCUUAACUGGGAGGGUGGCAUUGAUACUGUGGGGCUAGAGUACAGAUGA